AACAGAAGGAAUACUCGCUGUUUCUCUCUCGUUUAUCCACCCCAUCGCUCUCUCUCUCACUCUCUCUCAUUCUCCAUCCCAUCCAGAUCCCGCCGCCCCAACCCUCUCACCCUUCCCAUCCACAGGGAGCCCCGCCUUUUCCCGGCGAGUCGCACCGCCCCAACCCUCUCCCACCCUCAUCUCGUAGCUCCCCUUCCCUUCAUCAUGCUCGGGCUCCCUCCCUCUUCUGCGGCCUGGACCCAUGUGCUUGGCGGAGCCGUGGCGGGGGAGCUUUACCGGCUACGUCGUCGUGGGUUCACCGGAGUGAAACGCCGGACUUUUUCGGGAGAAGACGCUGUUGCGACGCCUCUCUGCCAUCACCGGUGCUGCCAUUUUCGUCGGGCGUCGUGUGCGACCCACAACAUUGGGGACACACCAGUUUCGUCGGUCGAUUCAGACCCAACUCCAUCCCCGCUUCUUCCCUCGAGCCAGCGAUAGCUGUUCUAUUCCAUCCCCGUUUAAUUUUGAGUACUGGAGUCCAAGGCGAGCGCAACUAUGGCAGGGAAUGAGUUUGAGUAGGUGCGUGGGAUGAAUCCAUCAAUUAUUGUAUUUGGCCUGCUCUCCCAAGCUGCUGCCUCGAGGUCGCCAUACUUCGCAAAAAUCAUGACGGUGCUGCGUUGUGCUCACCAUGCCCAGAAAUUGGGGGUCACGAGGAGGAAGACAAUGGCACGCACGAGGAAAUUAGAGACGGCGGUGGCACCAAACAUUACUUGAGCCUGAUCGUUUUUUUUGCUAGCUUAGCGUUUUGCUUUCAUAGGUUUGGAGCUCUAAAUUUAAGCUUUUCGUCUGAAUCUUCAUUUGAUCCACAGGCUUCUGAUCGUUCUGAACAAAUGCUUCAACUCUUUGUUGUUUCAUUUGAUUUUUGGAAGUUCAUUAGAUUUUGGUAAGUUGUUUGAUUUCCCUUAAUCGAUUUCUGAAUCUCCUCCCUUCUUUAGUGGAGCUCCCUGCAAGUGUUGUUUUAAUUCAUGGUUAAAUUCUAUUUUGGUGUUGGCUGUUGAGAAUAUCAGAUGAGACAAGCAAUGGAAUGGACUGUGUGGACAAUCACAGGAAUGGUGUUCCGUGGAUAGGUCAUGUGUUGGAGAGGGAACGACACGUUGCAGCAGCGAGAGGUCUUGCCUCUUUUCUGCUGUUCUUGCUUCUCCCCUAUGAUUUUUUAGUUGGUUGUCUUGGAGAGGAAACGACAAGCUGCAGCAGCCAGAGUAGUAGGAGAAGCAGCUUCAACUCCCACGACAUGUUCUACAUUUUUCUGCACUGAUGUAUUUGUUAUGGUCCAACUGAAUUAGUUUUGACUGCAUCUUAUUCUCUGUAGUCUCUGAGAUUUGUUCUCUAGUUCAAACUGUGCGUCAACUGUUCAAAUGAAUGUCUUAAUUAAAAGAACACUGUUUGAUGGAAUGCCAGAAAAGAAUGCACGUCUUUUUCCUGGCUAAAAAUUCGUUCAGAGUGUUCUGUUUUUUCUAUCUGGUAAAUUUCAUUGGCCUCAGAGUUGAUUCCCUCUUUUAAUUCAUUUGGUGUGGUUUUCUAAAUGAAGAAGCAGAACCAUUUUGGUUGUUAUUCACUACUGCUCCUCAUGGUCCAUUCCCUUGGAUUUGGAAAGCGGAUUUGAUGUUGGAUUUGUUGAAAUAGCCACUGGCGAGGCAGUGCUUGAUUUCGUGAACAUCAACACUUUUUUUCAUACUGAGAACUUGGCAACAUCAGCAUGAGUUCUUCCCUUAACUUCUCUUUCUUUCCAAUGGACUUCUUAUUGCGGCUAUUAUGGACAAUGAGAGGGCUUCUGCGAUUUUCUGUUCGUGAGUUUGGAGAUCAGUUCCCCACGACCCGCACCAUGGAUCGGUAAUGGAUUUUUUUUUGUUGCAGUCAAGGUGUUUGACCUCCACCUCCCCCGCCUGAUACAGGGCUCGAUGCUGCUAUAAAAUCCCGUGCGAAAUUUCCGAUUCAUGGAGCUAGCUACAACCGAACCAGGUGAUGAAAAGCACCUGAUGAUCCCACUCCGGCGCCUGGUAACUAGGCUCACUAGGAUAGCCCCCAUGGAGACGUCUUGGCAGUUGCGGCCAGCAUUUGUUUGUGUUGAUGCCUGAAUGAAAACAACAUGAUGGGCUCUGAGUUUGGACUUGGGCAUGGCCGCCGUGCAGUCCGCCACCGCUGUCUCCCCCUCUGCGUCAGCAUCCCGUCUCCUGCAGGACCAUGGCCUCCGCAGCGCCGGCGUCAUCGAGCACAGCAAUGCCGACGCCACUGGGGCGUGUAGUAUACUGGAGGCUCUGUGUCAUACGAGUAGAUCAUCCAAGAUGGUUCCCACUUGCACAUCAAUGUUCACAAGUACUUGCAGUACUAGUUUGUUUUAGGCUGCUGCUGUAAUCAACUAUGUGCUUCCUAGUCAUUUUCUGCAUCGUAUUGAACAUUAUUUAGUUUAAUGUAUGGCAUGAAACUAUUUUCACCAGCCUUGUUGCCUUCCA
Long non-coding RNA from Triticum dicoccoides, 2489 nucleotides. RefSeq lists it as uncharacterized. Lineage: Eukaryota; Viridiplantae; Streptophyta; Magnoliopsida; Poales; Poaceae. The record is from RefSeq and is a predicted model, not a curated record. The transcript has 5 exons.